RNAcentral lists this long non-coding RNA (2226 nucleotides) under Daphnia pulex (common water flea). RNAcentral describes it as "uncharacterized LOC124189664, transcript variant X2". The record is from RNAcentral. Lineage: Eukaryota; Metazoa; Arthropoda; Branchiopoda; Diplostraca; Daphniidae.
AAAAUGGCAACACCACUUCUCAGUUCUCACGGAAGUUCGUCUGCACAAAUCUGCACAAGUGUGCAAGUCUUCACACAAAUGUGCAGUCUUCAAGAGUGAAAAUUUGCAUAAAUUCUUUAAAUUGUAACUUGUUAAGUGGCUGCAGGUGGGUAAGCGGUAGUAUGUACUUAGACUUAGGCAACACUCCACUUAGGCACAUGGAUGCCUGAUGAUGAAUUGGUGAAUGGUGAGUGUUGUGUUGUGUGUGUCUGUCUGUCUAAGUUUCAAACAUUGAAUGGAUUGAUUGUAACAUUAUAGUGACCAUUUUUAAUUAAAUGAGUGGGUAAACGUGGCUUUUUUUUCUCGAUUGCCUCACCUUUGCUAACCACGAGCGUCCCCUUAACCCCUAAUAACGUGGUUGAAACAAAGUGCUGAGUCAAAUCAAGGAAGUGUUUGAAACAGCUCAUGUUCCUUGCCCAGAUUACGUUGGUGCAAAAAGAGAGCAACAGAUUGUUACACCUGCAUUGGAUUUUCCAUCUCAAGAUAAUUUUAUUCAGUUUUUUUAUUAGGUCUAAAUAACUCCACCAUUUAUCUCCAAUGUAACAGCAGCAAGUCGAAGGUUUUUCGAGUAAAGUGUGACUAGUUAAAGUUUUACUUCUGCUUGUAAAGAAUCCAGCAAUGUAGGACGAGAACUCAGACAUUCAGUGACAGCAGCACCUACCUUACAUGAAUUUCCGAUGCAAUUUAUGCCUAAAAUAAGAAGAAUUCAAAAUCUCCACAGUCUACAUGGGGGUUGGCAUGAAAGAUAACAAAGAAAGACUUAAGCAGCCCGUGAUUGUGUGUACUCUGGAUUCUCUGGGUCACGACCGUCAUUGGCGCGAAUGCUGGUUCAUUGCAAAACUCAUCUUUGUCGAAAUCUGACAUCCGGGAAGAAAUUAGAAUUGGUGAUGUAACACUUGCCAUGGACGCACGAGCAACUAUCUACGAGGCAACAGACCAACUAUAUGAGGCAGAUGACUCCCACGAUAGAGUUAAAAACAGAGCAAAAGUUGAAGGAGGUUCUGAAAAAAAAAAAAUGCGGCGUCAUUUUCAUCAUUCACGUCGAUCCGCGUCGGAUGUCGAUUGAUUCUUUCAAGUUAUGGCUGCUCGAAAUGCUCGGUCCAGUUUUACAAACAAGUAGGCCCUAGCUUACGUCUAAACUUGGGCCAGUUCUGCAUGUAUGAACGGCCUUACGACUGCAGGACAACCAACUCCUGAUUGAAUUAUUUAAAGAGUUCUUGUUGGCACAACAAUUGAAGAACUAUUUCGUCAUGCUAACUUAUCGACCAUACUGACCGAUUGAUGUCGCUCAACUCAUGCUAUUGCCUUGUCCUGUCCAAAUGCCAAUUGGUUUCCGCACUUGCAAGUAAUCCUUCGGUCGCUGACUGGCAUCUUUUGACAUACAUCUUAAUGGGCCGUAAAGCUGGCUUCUUGGUCUUGUCGCCAAAAGCGAAGAUGAAAAGUUCCAGAAAAUUAAAGAAUUUUGCUUAAUAUGAGAAUCAUCUGGAUUUCUUUCCAAGCAAAAGUAAAAGGGUAUCACGGUCGACUAAGUUCUUUGUUUGCUAACCCGUUGGCUGCUACCUUGACCCUAGCUGGCUGACCUUGCCCUCUUUAACUUCGGGAUUUGAGUUAAUCCUGCGAUAUUCCAUGGAUUCAAUCAAUUGAACCUGACGAGAGAUGAAAGCUCAGCGACGACUAACUGACGUGCUGUUAUUCAGCAAUAUUGCUCACUUGCGUGAUGUCCUUUCGUCGCUCCGAAUCAUGGGGGAGUUGAGCUUGCUUCAGCUACGCGGCCAGCUGCCAGCAUCAUUGGAUUACCCAGCCGACUUGUAAGUUACCCCAGCUCUAAACACAGCACAGAGUUUUACUCUUUAGAUAUUAUGUGUGGCUGUUUGCGAUGUGUGAUGGCGUUUUCUUGAGUGCGACGACUAAUCGCUCCCUAGCAAAACUGGCUUCGCACUCCUCUCUUCUUCCUUGUCCAGGUAAUCUCCCUGAGCACAGUCAAUCAAGGCAGAGUCUCCCCCUGUCUUGAUUGACUGAACUUUGCAAGGAAAAUUGAACAUUUCACUUUAAUAGAUAAAUUUAAUGAAGGUAAAUGAUAAAAAUGCAUGAGCGAUGAUAAACAUAUGUACAUAACAGUGUCAAUAAGAUUGUAAAUAGUUAUAUUUUCUUUAUGAAAUAUUUAAAAUACAAUGUAAUCUAUAUCUA